Sesamum indicum (sesame) is the source of this 1261-nucleotide non-coding RNA. The record is from RefSeq and is a predicted model, not a curated record. Lineage: Eukaryota; Viridiplantae; Streptophyta; Magnoliopsida; Lamiales; Pedaliaceae.
UCCAGACACUCAAAACUACUCUCCUGCGCUCCGCUGCACCCCACCCUAUAUAUAAUAAGUCUUAACUUACACUAUCUGAUUUUGACUCUCUCUACCUUCCGCCUCCAAUCCAUAAUCCCUCUCUCUCUUUUUCUCACAGGCAGGCACUCAACCCCAGUGUUAAUGGAGGAGUUAUUUCAGUACAUGAAGACUCUCCGCUCUCAGAUCAACGAUGUGGCGGAUCAAGCAGCCAAGUUAUCGGUUGAAGAGCAUAUGCUGUUUACCACUGUUGAGACGCUCCAAAAGGAUCUCGAUUUAGUGAAGAAUGAAACUAGGCAAGUGAAAGAGGAAACUGAUCAGAUGACCAAAGCUAAGGGAAAGAUCUAUUCACAGAUUUUGCAAAACCAGAGGAAAAUUGCUUCGUUGGAAUCUGAUUCUUCCACCCUUAGUCAGACGUUGAAGCUUAUGCAACAAGAAAAACUAUGCCUGUCAGCAAAACUUGUAGAUCAAAGCACAUAUUAUGAGAAGGUUGGUCAGGAUAUCAGUGCACAACUAACAGAACACCAGGAGUGGAUCAAUGCACAGGAUUUUGGCUCACGACCCAGAGAGGUAAAUGAGAAAGCAGGAGGAACAAAAGAGUUCCCGAAUGAUGUAGGUCAAAGUUUGACGAAGGAUUUUCAAGCUGCUCAAGCCAACUUUGGUAAGAUGGAAAAGCUAAAAUCAGAUCUUGCUUUGAAGAAUACUAAGCUGAGGCAGUCUGUUGAGCUAGUGAAGACUAAAAUGACUGAAUUUAAGGUGGUCUCUACAUUUUUUUUUCUUGUCUGCUAUUUGAUAUGUAUCUACUUGGUGGACUUUAACAUGCUUUGGUUAGUAUACCUUUUCAGGCAUACCAAACAGACACAAAUACAAAAAGACAAAAAUAAAAAAGAAAAAAGGAAGGAACAUAGUCUGCUGUUGCCAAAAAGUAUUUUCAUUAUUCACUACAUAAAGCAGCAAAUGCCAGGAAAUUCAGAGGAGAUAAUUAACUGUUUAGGCAUCCAUCUUUUAGAUGGUAGAAUGAUUGAAACAUUCCGAGUCUGAUAAUAGUUUUAUAUGUUUCUAAUAUAUAAUGAUGUUGGCUCGAGUGACUGCAGUCGGAACUUAGGGACAUGGAUGAGAAAAGCUUGGAAGAGGACCUUCAAGCACUCUUAUCAGACAAAUCUGGAGAAGCUGAGUAUGUGCAGUCUCUGCAACUCCAGAUUACGAGAGUGAAGGAGAUCUCACACAUAGUUAGGUGCUCUUG